Molecule: long non-coding RNA, 320 nt
Organism: Rhinopithecus roxellana (golden snub-nosed monkey)
Lineage: Eukaryota; Metazoa; Chordata; Mammalia; Primates; Cercopithecidae
Exons: 3
Source: RefSeq, a predicted model, not a curated record
GCCUCGGAGACAGCGAAGCUUGACUCUCCAUAGAACACAGCACUGCUCUGCCCACUGAGCCCAAAGCAAGGGGGCGAUGAUUUCUGGAAGAUGGUGUUUGGUUCUAGCAGGUGUUGGGAUCCUAAGAGGUCUUCUAGUCACCUCUCCAGCAACUCCACAGAAGCUGACCAUCUGGCUGCUGCUUUGCUAUUUGUGACUCCAUAAGAGAACUCCUUGGUCAAGUGAUGCCCAUCUCCAAUCUGGAUUCAGAAGAGGAGAGCACAACCCUGCCUCUUCCCAUUCUGUCUCCCAGCACCUAUAUGUUUCUCCAACUAAUAGCA